Chelonia mydas (Green sea turtle) is the source of this 160-nucleotide non-coding RNA. The record is from Rfam. Lineage: Eukaryota; Metazoa; Chordata; Testudines; Cheloniidae.
GCACUGCUAGUACAGUGCAUGCCAUGACCACGAAGGUAGUUUUCCAAGGAUGAGGCUCAUCUGUUGCACUGCAGGUGUGCUGACCCCUGCAAUUUCCCCAAAUGCGGGAAACUUGACUGCAUAAUUUGUGGUAGUGGGGUACUGCAUUCACACUCCCCUG